Molecule: long non-coding RNA, 590 nt
Organism: Rhinopithecus roxellana (golden snub-nosed monkey)
Lineage: Eukaryota; Metazoa; Chordata; Mammalia; Primates; Cercopithecidae
Exons: 3
Source: RefSeq, a predicted model, not a curated record
UGGCGCGGCCGGGCCGGGACGCGGGGCGGCGGGAGGGGCAGCCGGCACCCCCGUGGGCGCCCGGAUUUUCCUGGGCGCUCCCGCCCCUCUUUAUUUUUAAACAAACCCGGAGCAUCCCGGGGCCCCGGCCAUCGCGGGGCCGCCCCGGGCCGUGACGUCAUGGACCCCAGCCAAUCACCGGAGCCUGAGACCGCGCCGCGGCCUGCGAGCCCGGUGACGUCACAGCGCGGGCCUGUAAUCCGCAGCUUCGCUGGUUACCUGCAAGCGGUGCGAGCGCCCAAUACCUGAAAUCUGGACUUUGCUGUCUCUGAAAAUCACCAUUUGCCUUCGGGAGAUGUGUGUUGGCAAGAAGAGGAGACAUAUUCAAACCCCACUGGCUAUGACAUCAGGAGCUCAGUAUGGAAUCUACAGGCCACCCUAGACUGUCCUGCUAAUGCUGACUCUUCUGCCCAUCUCUGUUCUCAAGUUCUCCAUGGCUUUUAUUCUAGUAAACUGUUAAACUGCUUCCACAGCAGCUGUACCAUUUGCCAUUCCUACCAGCAAUGGACAAGACAUUCAAUUUCUCCACAUCCUCACCAAUAUUCAUUUUC